UACGGGGGGGGCAAGCGUUGUUCGGAAUUACUGGGCGUAAAGGGCUCGUAGGUGGCCAACUAAGUCGGACGUGAAAUCCCUCAGCUUAACUGGGGAACUGCGUCCGAUACUGGAUGGCUUGAGUUUGGGAGAGGGAUGCGGAAUUCCAGGUGUAGCGGUGAAAUGCGUAGAUAUCGGGAGGAACACCAGUGGCGAAGGCGGUUGCCUGGAGCUUUGCUGACGCUGAGGCGCGAAAGCGUGGGGAGCGAUCCGG
Molecule: ribosomal RNA, 253 nt
Filed under: uncultured bacterium
Lineage: Bacteria
Description: partial 16S ribosomal RNA
Rfam family: Bacterial small subunit ribosomal RNA
Source: RNAcentral